CCUACGGGAGGCAGCAGUGGGGAAUAUUGGGCAAUGGAGGAAACUCUGAUCCAGCGACGCCGCGUGAAUGAUGAAGGUCUUCGGAUUGUAAAGUUCUUUUCUAAGGGAAGAAGAAAGUGACGGUACCUUAGGAAUAAGCCUCGGCUAACUACGUGCCAGCAGCCGCGGUAAUACGUAGGAGGCGAGCGUUAUCCGGAAUGACUGGGUGUAAAGGGGGCGUAGGGGGUUUGGCAAGUUAGUAGCGAAACUCCAGGGCUCAACCUUGGAACUACUCUUAAAACUGUGGGACUUGAGUGCAGGAGAGGCAACCGGAAUUCCUAGUGUAGCGGUGGAAUGCGUAGAUAUUAGGAGGAACACCAGUGGCGAAGGCGGCUUGCUGGACUGUAACUGACGCUGAGGCACGAAAGCGUGGGGAGCAAACAGGAUUAGAUACCCCUGUAGUC
RNAcentral lists this ribosomal RNA (443 nucleotides) under uncultured bacterium. RNAcentral describes it as "partial 16S ribosomal RNA". It matches the Rfam family "Bacterial small subunit ribosomal RNA", at positions 338 to 795 of the family's 1533-position model. The record is from RNAcentral.